GUGGAUGACGUCAGGGGGCCGGUGACGGUGACGGUGGAAGAUGGCGGCCGUGGGCGGACUGUGGCUGCGAGGGGCCGUCGGGAGCAGCCGCUCCAGGCUGGCGAGGGCGGCACUGACAGCACCAGCGGCGGCCGCAGCAGCGGCAGUGGGGUCGCGGCGCUCGGUAGCGCACUUCACCUUCGUGCCGGACCAAGAGCCCACGCAGUAUGGUCCUACGCAGAAGAUGAACCUUUUUCAAUCUAUCACAAGUGGCUUGGACAAUGUUUUGGCAAAUGAUCCAACUGCAGUGAUUUUUGGAGAGGAUGUUGCCUUUGGAGGGGUUUUCCGGUGUACUGUUGGACUGCGGGACAAAUAUGGAAAGGAACGAGUAUUUAAUACCCCUCUCUGUGAGCAAGGUAUCGUGGGAUUUGGAAUUGGGAUAGCAGUUACAGGAGCUAAAGCGAUUGCAGAAAUACAGUUUGCAGACUACAUCUUUCCAGCCUUUGAUCAGAUUAUUAAUGAAGCCGCAAAGUAUCGCUAUCGCUCUGGGAACUUAUUUGACUGUGGAAGUUUAACGAUUCGUGCACCUUGGGGAUGCGUGGGCCAUGGGGCACUCUAUCACUCCCAGAGUCCUGAGGCCUUCUUUUCCCAUAUCCCUGGAGUUAAGGUGGUUAUUCCAAGAAGCCCCAUCCAGGCCAAGGGAUUAUUGCUAUCUUGCAUAGAGGAUAAAAAUCCUUGUAUCUUCUUUGAGCCUAAAAUUCUCUACAGAGCUGCUGUGGAACAAGUUCCUGUGGAGGCCUAUCAAAUCCCUCUUUCAGAAGCAGAAGUUCUGCAGGAGGGAAAUGACGUGACCCUUGUUGCUUGGGGAACUCAGGUUCAUGUAAUGAAAGAAGUGGCCAGCAUGGCUCAGGAGAAAUUGGGAGUCUCGUGUGAAGUAAUCGAUUUAAAAACUAUUCUGCCUUGGGAUGCUGAAACCAUUUGCAAGUCUGUGGUAAAAACGGGAAGGUUGCUUAUUAGCCACGAAGCUCCGAUAACAGGAGGAUUUGCAGCGGAGAUCAGUUCCACAGUUCAGGAAGAGUGCUUUCUCAACCUGGAGGCGCCAAUCAGCAGAGUCUGUGGAUAUGAUACACCUUUUCCGCAUAUCUUUGAACCUUUUUACAUACCAGACAAAUGGAAGUGUUUUGAUGCCGUGCGGAAAAUGAUAAAUUAUUAAAAAGCGGCAGAUGGCAUCAGCAUGAAAUGGGAAUGAGAUGAUCAUUGAGCACCUGACACACACUAAAUUAAAGAUUUAUAUUGAGAUGCCUGUAAAUCAUGUGAAUGAUUUUCCAUUAUAGAGGCUAAAGGGUGAAAUUAUGCUGUGUGUCAUCAUCAUCUUUUUCACCACAGAUUCAGGGUGAUGCUGAGAGGUGUUUGAAUGAAAAGGAGUUUGAUUAAUUUCAGUAUAGUUCUUUGACAGCAAAUCAGUUUGCUGAGCCAAUAUUGUACAAGCUACAUUGCUGAGGGGGCUCAAGUGAUCCAAUGUGGACCAUGCUUGGAUUGUUUUCUCCAGAGCGUCGGAGGCUGAGGGAGGCCUGAUGGAAGUAUAUAAAAUUAUGAGAGGCAUGAAUAGAGUAGACUUUAGUCCAUUAUUCCUAAGAUAGAAAUGUCAAGGACUGAAUGGCAUGGGUUUAAGGUGUGAAGGGCAAAUUUUAAAGAAAUGUGGGGCUUUUUACACAGAGAGUGGUGGGUGACUGGAAGGCAUUGCCAGGGGUGGUGGCAGAGAUAGAUUUAAGUGGCAUUUAAGAGGCUUUUAGAUUGGCUAAUGAAUAUGCAGGGAAUGGAGGUAUAUGGAUCAUAUGCAGGCAGAGGAAAUGAGUUUAACGGCAUCAUGUUUGGCACAGCAUGAUGGGCCAAAGGGCCUGUUCUUGUGCUGUACUGUUUAUGUUUUCUAUACUCUGAAUUCAUCCAGUAUCUGGCUUGGGUGCUUAACAUUCAAAAUGAAAAGAUUUAUGGCUAUCUGCCACUUUAGUAGAUUAAAAUAAAUGCAAUAUCCUGAUU
Molecule: RNA transcript, 2016 nt
Organism: Amblyraja radiata (thorny skate)
Lineage: Eukaryota; Metazoa; Chordata; Chondrichthyes; Rajiformes; Rajidae
Gene: bckdhb
Gene name: branched chain keto acid dehydrogenase E1 subunit beta
Exons: 12
Source: RefSeq, a predicted model, not a curated record